GGACUACAAGGGUAUCUAAUCCCGUUCGCUACCCACGCUUUCAUGUUUCAGUGUCAGGAGUGCUCCAGUCUGCUGCCUUCGCUUUUGGUGUUCCCCAUAAUAUCAACGCAUUUCACCGCUACACUAUGAGUUCCACAGACCUCUCGCAUCCUCAAGUCGCGCCGUUUCCCCCGCAUGUUUCCGGUUGAGCCGAAAAAUUUAACGGAAGACUAACGCGACCACCUACACAUCCUUUACGCCCAAUGAUUCCGGAUAACGCUUGAGGCACUCGUAUUACCGCGGCUGCUGGCAC
RNAcentral lists this ribosomal RNA (292 nucleotides) under uncultured bacterium. Its description in RNAcentral is "partial 16S ribosomal RNA". The record is from RNAcentral.